RNAcentral lists this unclassified non-coding RNA (208 nucleotides) under Peniophorella praetermissa. RNAcentral's name for it is "partial internal transcribed spacer 2". Lineage: Eukaryota; Fungi; Basidiomycota; Agaricomycetes; Hymenochaetales. The record is from RNAcentral.
AAUCAUCAACCCCAGUUGGAUUUGUAAUUUGACUGGUGGCUUGGACUUGGGGGUUUGCUGGCCGUUUUGAUUCGGUCUGGCUCUCCUUGAAUGUAUUAGCUUGGACUUGUUCCUAAGGCUUCAUGGCGUGAUAAUUAUCUACGCUUUGUACUGUCUGCGGAAUAUCUAUGAGUCUAGCUUCUAACCGUCCUCUGGACAAUCUUUCAUU